Molecule: ribosomal RNA, 251 nt
Filed under: uncultured bacterium
Lineage: Bacteria
Description: partial 16S ribosomal RNA
Rfam family: Bacterial small subunit ribosomal RNA
Source: RNAcentral
UACGGAGGGUGCAAGCGUUAUCCGGAUUCACUGGGUUUAAAGGGUGCGUAGGUGGGCAUGUAAGUCAGUGGUGAAAUCUCCGGGCUUAACCCGGAAACUGCCAUUGAUACUAUAUGUCUUGAAUACCAUGGAGGUGAGCGGAAUAUGUCAUGUAGCGGUGAAAUGCUUAGAUAUGACAUAGAACACCAAUUGCGAAGGCAGCUCACUACGCGGUUAUUGACACUGAGGCACGAAAGCGUGGGGAUCAAACA